This 473-nucleotide unclassified non-coding RNA is filed under the name Anaphalis hellwigii. Its description in RNAcentral is "partial external transcribed spacer". Lineage: Eukaryota; Viridiplantae; Streptophyta; Magnoliopsida; Asterales; Asteraceae. The record is from RNAcentral.
CAGCUUGCUUGGCAUUGAGCUUGGUGGGUUGCUACUGGUUGGGUGUCUUCGGGGAUGUCUACCGUAAAGGUGCAUGAGUGGUGUUUGGUUUGUUAUGGGUGGUUGGCUCUUUGCUUGCGCAACAACUUCUACCCGGCAUACCUCUUCAGUCUUGUGUCAAUGCUUGUAUUGCAUUGAAUGCACUGUGGGUUUCUUGUGUUGCAUGCCUAAUUAAUGGUAUCGCUUGAUGAAUUGGUAUUCCUUUCGUCUUGUGUCACCUAUGCGAUGUGAGAUGAACCUUGAAGCAACCUUUGUGAUCCACUCUUUUGAUGCAUACGCAUUGAUUUUGUGGCCCAUUGAGUGUUGCUUGGUCUCAUGGAUAUGGAACCUGGUGUGGGCAUGGAAUCUCACUGGUUCCUUGUUUGCCUAACUUUAGCUUUUCUAAAACGAUUGUCUAUCAUGUGUUAACGUGGUAAACAGCUCGAAUAUGAAUG